CGGAUUAACUUGAUGUCAACUCCGGGUCGGGUCGAGGAGGAAUAGGGGAAGGAGACAAGUAACUCGUCUCCGUACCGCCGGUAGGUGGCCACGGUAUCGGCCGUACCACGUGCGCGGCCCGUAGGUGAUGGAGGGGCGACAGAUAUUUCUGGUGGGGCUACGGGACCUGCUUGGGAUCAACGGGAGGGGGGAAAGGGGACGCGACAAAAGAAGGAGAGGGCGUGUGCGGGCUCGAGGUGGGCGGUACAGGUAGCAGCAGGAGCACAGGUAGCAGGUGGAGUAGCCAGCUCCGGAGACGUCCUCGACACAGGCGAAGAGAUGUAGCUGAGGCUCCUCGUCGAGCUCUUCCUCUAGCGGUGUUGCGUCCCUAGCUGCAGCAGAAGAUGGAGGCCGGUGGCGCCGAGGUAGCUGCUUAAACAGUGGAAGUGAUGUAGGGCCUGGAGGAGCUCGAGGAGAAGGCUGAGCGCUGGGGCUGUGGCUACGACGGGGACACUAGCUGAUGUAGCUGCUGCUGUGAAGAAGGAAAAGUCGUCUCGAAGGUCUACAGCCUCGGGUCCUCGGUCUACGGUGGCAGCUACGGAUGAUGAUGCACCUCUGGCGGCUGCUGGUCCUCAUCAAUCCUCCGAGGGUCCGUCCUCCGGAACGGAAAAGCUAGCAUCUACGAAAACACGACCGGAAGAAUUCCUUUUGAACAGAUUGAAUACAGACAUGAGUCUAUAACAACGAAGGUGACUGAGAACACAUAAAGCUCGAAUACAUAAGCUCGGGAGCUCCGUGUACCGAACAUUGUAUUUCGAACAUAAUAAAAUU
This 810-nucleotide ribosomal RNA is filed under the name Triticum aestivum (bread wheat). RNAcentral's name for it is "partial small subunit ribosomal RNA". Lineage: Eukaryota; Viridiplantae; Streptophyta; Magnoliopsida; Poales; Poaceae. The record is from RNAcentral.